UACAGAGGUCUCAAGCGUUGUUCGGAUUCAUUGGGCGUAAAGGGUGCGUAGGCGGCGCGGUAAGUCGGGUGUGAAAUCUUGGAGCUUAACUCCGAAACUGCAUUCGAUACUGCCGUGCUUGAGGACUGGAGAGGAGACUGGAAUUUACAGUGUAGCGGUGAAAUGCGUAGAUAUGGGGAGGAACACCGGUGGCGAAGGCGGCCAUCUGGACGGAUACUGACGCUGAGACGCGAAAGCGUGGGGAGCAAACAGG
Molecule: ribosomal RNA, 253 nt
Filed under: uncultured bacterium
Lineage: Bacteria
Description: partial 16S ribosomal RNA
Rfam family: Bacterial small subunit ribosomal RNA
Source: RNAcentral